RNAcentral lists this long non-coding RNA (408 nucleotides) under Mus spicilegus (steppe mouse). RNAcentral's name for it is "lncRNA (ENSMSIG00000018211.1)". The record is from RNAcentral. Lineage: Eukaryota; Metazoa; Chordata; Mammalia; Rodentia; Muridae.
CCCCGGCUACUGAAACGAAGUGCAAGAGCGGACCCUGGCGUCAAGAUCUUGCAACCUCCACCCGAGAGCCCUGCAGGAGGACAUCAAACCAGAAGCGCUGGAUUAAACAGACCCUUGAUUGGUGCUUGAUGUGAAAGAGCCCAGUUUACUGCGGAUGGUGCCAUUCCUGGGCAUUUCCCUCAGGCAACAUCGGCCUCAACCCCGGAGUCCAGGUGCAAAUCAUCUCUCUCACUGUUUGCAAUUAACGAUGCAGACAAGCUGGUAAGCGAAUUUCAGCUAAGCAGGCAUUCUGCUCACCAAGUUCUAAGAGCAAGCCUUCCUGUUGCAGUGCAGCCUCAAGCUCUGAAGGAUGGCGUUCCAAGAAAAGGGAUGAGAAUGAACUAAAAUAAAUGUGUAUCACAAUAGACA